RNAcentral lists this ribosomal RNA (497 nucleotides) under uncultured bacterium. RNAcentral describes it as "partial 16S ribosomal RNA". It matches the Rfam family "Bacterial small subunit ribosomal RNA", at positions 28 to 507 of the family's 1533-position model. The record is from RNAcentral.
GAUGAACGCUGGCGGCGUGCCUAAUACAUGCAAGUCGAGCGAACAGAUAAGGAGCUUGCUCCUUUGACGUUAGCGGCGGACGGGUGAGUAACACGUGGGUAACCUACCUAUAAGACUGGAAUAACUCCGGGAAACCGGGGCUAAUGCCGGAUAACAUUUAGAACCGCAUGGUUCUAAAGUGAAAGGUGGUUUUGCUAUCACUUAUAGAUGGACCCGCGCCGUAUUAGCUAGUUGGUAAGGUAACGGCUUACCAAGGCAACGAUACGUAGCCGACCUGAGAGGGUGAUCGGCCACACUGGAACUGAGACACGGUCCAGACUCCUACGGGAGGCAGCAGUAGGGAAUCUUCCGCAAUGGGCGAAAGCCUGACGGAGCAACGCCGCGUGAGUGAUGAAGGUCUUCGGAUCGUAAAACUCUGUUAUUAGGGAAGAACAAAUGAGUAAGUAACUGUGCACGUCUUGACGGUACCUAAUCAGAAAGCCACGGCUAACUACGUG